This is a long non-coding RNA of Papio anubis (olive baboon), 1227 nucleotides long. The record is from Ensembl. NCBI's taxonomy places the organism in Eukaryota, Metazoa, Chordata, Mammalia, Primates, Cercopithecidae.
AUGAUCUGCCCACCUUGGCCUUCCAAAGUGCUGAGAUUACAGGCAGGAACCACUACGCCCAGCCUGCCUGCUUCCUUUGACUCCAAGGCAUUGUGGGAGCCACCAGAUACAGGGCUGCUGAGAGGAACUACACUGCCCAGUGCUGAAGCACCUCCCAGUUUAGAGGGGAAGAUACUCCUCUGCUUCCCAUGCCAGGUGAUAAGACUGAGGGGAGGGAUUGGGAUCAGCCAAGGGGAGACUGGAUCUAUCAGGUGGAGGACUGAGCAAAUCGGCCCAGAUGAGUGGACAUCUGGGCAAAGGGGACGUUCCAGGAGAAGAUGCAUUGGCAAAGACACAGGUAGCUGUGAGAGGUCAGCAGAGGAUGAGUGGAUUUUACCUUGAAACAGGACUAAGGCUGGUCCGAGAGUACGCUUGUGCACUAAGCAUGUGAAUUUUAUUCAGAGGACAGAGGAGAAGAAGGGUUGAAACAGGAGGGUUCACUUCCAUUCCAAAUCCCAUUCUCUGGAAACAUGAGCAUCACCCUCUGUCUGUCCCAGUUUUCCAGGCAGCCCAGCACUAAGGCGUGCCCAUGAAGUUAGGGAGUGAAUGAACACAGAACCACGUCGCAGGCCGAAAGUGGGGAGUAGGUCCCCCAGCCCUGGCCCUGGGCUAUUGACUGAAUCUUUCUGCUCUUAACCUGGUGGUUGGUGGACUUCAUGGCGAAGUCCCUGGAAUUUACGCGUACCCCCACAAUUUAAUCACCACCAGCACAAAUGAGGAAUGACUCUAUAAACACUGCAAUUUAUAGACCUUCUGUGCCUAUAGGUCACCUGUGAUGCAAUAACUGGUACCGUUCCUGGAGGAGAGUGUGGCUUCAUUUUAUUGGUCCUGCAUGAAAUUUAUACUCCUCUCUACCUGCAGCAAGACAGGUUUACUUCUAAGCAUCUCUUGCUAUUGUAACUUAUUUGUUCCAUUUCUAAGGGAUGUGAGUUGUGUGUGUAAGUUGUAUGUGUGAGUGUAUGUGUGUGUCUGAGGGACUAGACUGAACCUGGAAAGCGGUUCUCAGAUCCAUUCACUGAAAGUUUGUUGUAUUUCUCAUCCAGUGACUUAAGACUGCCCUGUCUUCUAGACUGUCCCUGCUACCUGCCGUCAUUGUGGUUGACCCAGGCGGACUUGCAAUUGCAAAUUAAAUGAGAUAGGCCAAAAUUUAUUUUCAAUUUUUAUCUAUUCUUAGUUUUUUUCCUCCCU